ACUCAAGAGCUCUGCGACUCUCCUGCCACCUGCCAACCCCGACCACCUCCUCCGGGCUGCAACUCCACCCCGCACCCGGGCUGCUGCUCCGGCUCCUCGGGUCUGUGCCCGCCGCCCGAGUGACCUCCCGCCGGGGCCCGGGCGGCUCGCCCUGGCCGGAGGGGCCGGAAAAGGCCGAGAGGCCUGACCUCCCGUGGGGCUUCCCUUCCUUCCUCCUGGGCAGCGCAGCCUGGAGCCAGCAGCUCUGCACCGGCCGGGCCUGCUGGGGCGAAAAGCCCCUUACCUAUCUUCACGACCGCAUCCGCCAGACACCGGUCCCACUUCCUGCCGAGCUCCGACUCAGACAUGUUCCCCACCCGCGCCUCCAGCUUUCCUCUCGGCCGGCCCCCGCGCUCCGACCCCUGAAAGUCUCGCGAGAGCUGGAAACAAGUCCCAGGUCAGGAAGGCAGGCGCAGACGCUCCAGAUAUCGCGAGAUGAUCCGCUGCUUCCAUCCCUUCCGGUUUUUUCAGUUGGUCGUCAAGGUGACGAGUUGUCUGGAGGCUCGAGGUGACCCUGACCUUGGGGCUGCGCCUAUGGGUUUGCGAGGCUGACAGUUUCCUAGGCGUCACCCCAAGCCGUGACCAGGCCUUUCCUCCUCACCAAAGUGCGACAUUGGCCCUGGAAAUCCCCCGGGCAAGAGAGGGUUGUAAAUUCAGCUUCCUUAACGUCGCAGAUUAGAAUGUUCUACACCACAGCACCUGCAUAAAUAAAGGUCUUUUAGAUGCCA
This 767-nucleotide long non-coding RNA is filed under the name Homo sapiens (human). RNAcentral describes it as "HSALNT0290588". Lineage: Eukaryota; Metazoa; Chordata; Mammalia; Primates; Hominidae. The record is from RNAcentral.